AUCCGAUUGAGAAUGCUAGAGAAGAUCUUGACUUUUGAGGCAGCUUGGUUUGAUGAAGAUCAAAACUCUAGUGGGGCUUUAUGUUCAAGAUUGAGCAAUGAGGCCUCUAUGGUUAAAUCCCUUGUCGCGGACAGAGUUUCUUUGUCAGUUCAAACUACUUCUGCAGUUACCAUAGCAAUGAUCAUGGGGCUAGUUGUGGCAUGGAAGCUUGCACUUGUCAUGAUCGCG
This 228-nucleotide unclassified non-coding RNA is filed under the name Hevea brasiliensis (rubber tree). The record is from RNAcentral. Lineage: Eukaryota; Viridiplantae; Streptophyta; Magnoliopsida; Malpighiales; Euphorbiaceae.